GACGAACGCUGGCGGCGUGCUUAACACAUGCAAGUCGAACGGAAAGGCCCUGCUUUUGUGGGGUGCUCGAGUGGCGAACGGGUGAGUAACACGUGAGUAACCUGCCCUUGACUUUGGGAUAACUUCAGGAAACUGGGGCUAAUACCGGAUAGGAGCUCCUGCUGCAUGGUGGGGGUUGGAAAGUUUCGGCGGUUGGGGAUGGACUCGCGGCUUAUCAGCUUGUUGGUGGGGUAGUGGAUUACCAAGGCUUUGACGGGUAGCCGGCCUGCGCGGGUGACCGGCCACAUUGGGACUGAGAUACGGCCCAGACUCCUACGGGAGGCAGCAGUGGGGAAUAUUGCACAAUGGGCGGAAGCCUGAUGCAGCAACGCCGCGUGCGGGAUGACGGCCUUCGGGUUGUAAACCGCUUUCGCCUGUGACGAAGCGUGAGUGACGGUAAUGGGUAAAGAAGCACCGGCUAACUCCGUG
Molecule: ribosomal RNA, 468 nt
Filed under: uncultured bacterium
Lineage: Bacteria
Description: partial 16S ribosomal RNA
Rfam family: Bacterial small subunit ribosomal RNA
Source: RNAcentral